UUUUUUGUUUUUGCUGCUUGGGCCGUCACUGCUAUUGGGCCCACUUCAGUCUGCUGUUGAACUGCUGGUGGAGGCUGCUGCAGUUUGGGUCGGAUCCGGGUCGGGUCGGGUUGACCCGACUGUUGUUUUUUUUUUCCUCUUUCUUUUUUCUCUCUUUUUCUUCUUCUUUUUCUUUCUUUUUUCCUUCUUCUUCUUCGGGUCACACCCUAGCCCCGCGCCGUUGCCGUCACUCGCGCCGGUCUCCUCCGCCCUCGGUGGCUAUGGAUGGAGCAACGGCGGUGGUGGAGUCACAACGGCGGUGCGACGACGGUGGUUACGGGAAGAUGGUGGCAGAGGAGGGCAUCAUGGCCUAGGGAGGCUGCUGGAGUAGUUCGGCUGGGGAGGGGUAGGCUCGGCUGUUGCUGCUGCGAUUAGACAAGUCCAGAAGGACCAAAUCGCAUAAGAUGUAAACCUUCCGGGGCGAAAGUGAAAUUUUAGCAAAAAUAUGGGCCAAAAUGUAAUUUCUUGAAAGUUUAGGGGUCAAAAUGUAAUUUAAAAAAUUUUAGGGUUUGAACUGUAAUUUUGAGAAAUUUUAGGAGUCAAAAUGCAAUUUUAGAAAAGUUUAGGGGUCAAAAUGCAAAAAAAAUUAAAAUUUUGUUUAA
Long non-coding RNA from Gossypium raimondii (Peruvian cotton), 641 nucleotides. RefSeq lists it as uncharacterized. Lineage: Eukaryota; Viridiplantae; Streptophyta; Magnoliopsida; Malvales; Malvaceae. The record is from RefSeq and is a predicted model, not a curated record. The transcript has 3 exons.